Non-coding RNA from Acanthosepion pharaonis, 113 nucleotides. NCBI's taxonomy places the organism in Eukaryota, Metazoa, Mollusca, Cephalopoda, Sepiida, Sepiidae. The record is from the annotation of a GenBank genome assembly.
UUACGACCAUAUCGCAUUGAAAUGAUGGUUCUUGUACGAUCACUGAAGUUAAGCAACGUCGAGCAUGGUUAGCGCCUAGAUGGGUGACCGCUUGAGAAUACCAGGUGCUGUAA